Molecule: long non-coding RNA, 400 nt
Filed under: Ananas comosus (pineapple)
Lineage: Eukaryota; Viridiplantae; Streptophyta; Magnoliopsida; Poales; Bromeliaceae
Description: long non-coding RNA (ACOM_LNC003775)
Source: RNAcentral
UAUAACAUCAAUGUUGUACCGGUACACUUUGCCCAGAUUUCAAAUUUGCAUCAUUUUCGAUUCUAUUUCGCGCCAGUCGAUGCUAAAACCCUUCUAACCCUUCUUAAACUCACCUUUAACCUUUCCAACAUUGUUGGAACAAUAAUUGAAACUUGUCCAAUUAUUCCUUUCGCGCACUUUAGUCAAUUUGGCUAAAGUUCGAUAUUUUCUACCGAGUUUCGGUACGUUACAUAAAAUCUAAGGUUUUUAUAGUAAUUUUUAUAAAGAUGGAGGAUUGUCGAUCGUGUAAUUGGACUGUUUUUUCAACAGAAUAAAAAUCAUCACUUUUAAGGAUUAUCUGUCACGCCCCGGGACCCGGCCGAGAUCUGCCUGGUACGUGACCAGACCCGCCAUAUGCCUA